GACGAACGCUGGCGGCGUGCUUAACACAUGCAAGUCGAACGGAAAGGCCCUGCUUUUGUGGGGUGCUCGAGUGGCGAACGGGUGAGUAACACGUGAGUAACCUGCCCUUGACUUUGGGAUAACUUCAGGAAACUGGGGCUAAUACCGGAUAGGAGCUCCUGCUGCAUGGUGGGGGUUGGAAAGUUUCGGCGGUUGGGGAUGGACUCGCGGCUUAUCAGCUUGUUGGUGGGGUAGUGGCUUACCAAGGCUUUGACGGGUAGCCGGCCUGAGAGGGUGACCGGCCACAUUGGUACUGAGGUACGGCCCAGACUCCUACGGGAGGCAGCAGUGGGGAAUAUUGCACAAUGGGCGGAAGCCUGAUGCAGCAACGCCGCGUGCGGGAUGACGGCCUUCGGGUUGUAAACCGCUUUCGCCUGUGACGAAGCGUGAGUGACGGUAAUGGGUAAAGAAGCACCGGCUAACUACGUG
Molecule: ribosomal RNA, 468 nt
Filed under: uncultured bacterium
Lineage: Bacteria
Description: partial 16S ribosomal RNA
Rfam family: Bacterial small subunit ribosomal RNA
Source: RNAcentral